Molecule: ribosomal RNA, 486 nt
Filed under: uncultured bacterium
Lineage: Bacteria
Description: partial 16S ribosomal RNA
Rfam family: Bacterial small subunit ribosomal RNA
Source: RNAcentral
AUUGAACGCUGGCGGCAUGCCUUACACAUGCAAGUCGAACGGCCGCACGGGUGCUUGCACCUGGUGGCGAGUGGCGAACGGGUGAGUAAUACAUGGGAACAUGUCCUGUAGUGGGGGAUAGUCCGGCGGAAGCCGGAUUAAUACCGCAUACGAUCUACGGAUGACAGCGGGGGCACUUGGGGCAUCGCGCUGUAGGGUUGGCCGAUGGCUGAUUAGCUAGUUGGUGGGGUAAAGGCCUACCAAGGCGACGAUCAGUAGCUGGUCUGAGAGGACGACCAGCCACACUGGGACUGAGACACGGCCCAGACUCCUACGGGAGGCAGCAGUGGGGAAUUUUGGACAAUGGGCGAAAGCCUGAUCCAGCAAUGCCGCGUGUGUGAAGAAGGCCUUCGGGUUGUAAAGCACUUUUGUCCGGAAAGAAAUCCUUGGCCCUAAUACGGUCGGGGGAUGACGGUACCGGAAGAAUAAGCACCGGCUAACUACGUG